This 30-nucleotide non-coding RNA is filed under the name Rattus norvegicus (Norway rat). Lineage: Eukaryota; Metazoa; Chordata; Mammalia; Rodentia; Muridae. The record is from RNAcentral.
UAAUAUAUCUACCAUGGUCCCACGAGAUGC